This 253-nucleotide ribosomal RNA is filed under the name uncultured bacterium. Its description in RNAcentral is "partial 16S ribosomal RNA". It matches the Rfam family "Bacterial small subunit ribosomal RNA", at positions 524 to 776 of the family's 1533-position model. The record is from RNAcentral.
UACGUAGGGUGCGAACGUUAAUCGGAAUCACUGGGCGUAAAGCGCGCGUAGGCGGUUCGUUAAGUGGGAUGUGAAAUCCCCGGGCUUAACCUGGGAAUUGCAUUUCAAACUGGCCGACUAGAGUACGGUAGAGGGAGGUAGAAUUUCCUGUGUAGCGGUGAAAUGCGUAGAUAUAGGAAGGAAUACCAGUGGCGAAGGCGGCCUCCUGGAUCGAUACUGACGCUGAGGCGCGAAAGCGUGGGGAGCAAACAGG